GGAGAGAUGCCAGAGUGGUCGAAUGGGCUCGCUUGGAAGGCGAGUAUAGGGGUAACUCUAUCGGGGGUUCGAAUCCCCCUCUCUCCGCCA
This 90-nucleotide transfer RNA is filed under the name Candidatus Altimarinota bacterium. RNAcentral's name for it is "tRNA-Ser". It matches the Rfam family "tRNA". From Rfam's summary of the family: Transfer RNA (tRNA) molecules are approximately 80 nucleotides in length. Their secondary structure includes four short double-helical elements and three loops (D, anti-codon, and T loops). Further hydrogen bonds mediate the characteristic L-shaped molecular structure. tRNAs have two regions of fundamental functional importance: the anti-codon, which is responsible for specific mRNA codon recognition, and the 3' end, to which the tRNAs corresponding amino acid is attached (by aminoacyl-tRNA synthetases). tRNAs cope with the degeneracy of the genetic code in two manners: having more than one tRNA (with a specific anti-codon) for a particular amino acid; and 'wobble' base-pairing, i.e. permitting non-standard base-pairing at the 3rd anti-codon position. The record is from RNAcentral. Lineage: Bacteria; Candidatus Altimarinota. RNAcentral also lists the same sequence under 1 other name.